CGCUUCUUUUUCCACCGGAGCUUGCUCCACCGGAAAAAGAGGAGUGGCGAACGGGUGAGUAACACGUGGGUAACCUGCCCAUCAGAAGGGGAUAACACUUGGAAACAGGUGCUAAUACCGUAUAACAAUCGAAACCGCAUGGUUUUGAUUUGAAAGGCGCUUUCGGGUGUCGCUGAUGGAUGGACCCGCGGUGCAUUAGCUAGUUGGUGAGGUAACGGCUCACCAAGGCCACGAUGCAUAGCCGACCUGAGAGGGUGAUCGGCCACAUUGGGACUGAGACACGGCCCAAACUCCUACGGGAGGCAGCAGUAGGGAAUCUUCGGCAAUGGACGAAAGUCUGACCGAGCAACGCCGCGUGAGUGAAGAAGGUUUUCGGAUCGUAAAACUCUGUUGUUAGAGAAGAACAAGGAUGAGAGUAACUGUUCAUCCCUUGACGGUAUCUAACCAGAAAGCCACGGCUAACUACGUGCCAGCAGCCGCGGUAAUACGUAGGUGGCAAGCGUUGUCCGGAUUUAUUGGGCGUAAAGCGAGCGCAGGCGGUUUCUUAAGUCUGAUGUGAAAGCCCCCGGCUCAACCGGGGAGGGUCAUUGGAAACUGGGAGACUUGAGUGCAGAAGAGGAGAGUGGAAUUCCAUGUGUAGCGGUGAAAUGCGUAGAUAUAUGGAGGAACACCAGUGGCGAA
Molecule: ribosomal RNA, 681 nt
Filed under: uncultured bacterium
Lineage: Bacteria
Description: bacterial SSU rRNA
Rfam family: Bacterial small subunit ribosomal RNA
Source: RNAcentral